This 275-nucleotide ribosomal RNA is filed under the name uncultured Flavobacterium sp. Its description in RNAcentral is "partial 16S ribosomal RNA". It matches the Rfam family "Bacterial small subunit ribosomal RNA", at positions 338 to 610 of the family's 1533-position model. The record is from RNAcentral. Lineage: Bacteria; Pseudomonadati; Bacteroidota; Flavobacteriia; Flavobacteriales; Flavobacteriaceae.
CCUACGGGUGGCUGCAGUGAGGAAUAUUGGUCAAUGGUCGCAAGACUGAACCAGCCAUGCCGCGUGCAGGAUGAAGCAUCUAUGGUGUGUAAACUGCUUUUGUACGGGAAGAAACAACUCUUCGUGAAGAGUCUUGACGGUACCGUAAGAAUAAGGAUCGGCUAACUCCGUGCCAGCAGCCGCGGUAAUACGGAGGAUCCAAGCGUUAUCCGGAAUCAUUGGGUUUAAAGGGUCCGUAGGCGGUUUUGUAAGUCAGUGGUGAAAUCCGGCAGCUU